GAGUACAUGGGCCAGUGGUCUACGCCGUGGCGUUUAGGUUUGGCCACCGAUUUCCCGUCGGUGACUCCCUCGCAAGAGGGUUCAUGAAACCCGCCAUCCGAGAGGGCGCAGGUUCGAAUCCUGCUGUACUCA
RNAcentral lists this transfer RNA (132 nucleotides) under Auxenochlorella protothecoides. It matches the Rfam family "tRNA". Rfam says of the family: Transfer RNA (tRNA) molecules are approximately 80 nucleotides in length. The record is from Rfam by way of RNAcentral. Lineage: Eukaryota; Viridiplantae; Chlorophyta; Trebouxiophyceae; Chlorellales; Chlorellaceae.